AUUGAACGCUGGCGGCAGGCCUAACACAUGCCAGUCGAGCGGAUGAAGGGAGCUUGCUCCUGGAUUCAGCGGCGGACGGGUGAGUAAUGCCUAGGAAUCUGCCUGGUAGUGGGGGAUAACGUCCGGAAACGGGCGCUGAUACCGCAUACGUCCUGAGGGAGAAAGUGGGGGAUCUUCGGACCUCACGCUAUCAGAUGAGCCUAGGUCGGAUUAGCUAGUUGGUGGGGUAAAGGCCUACCAAGGCGACGAUCCGUAACUGGUCUGAGAGGAUGAUCAGUCACACUGGAGCUGAGACACGGUCCAGACUCCUACGAGAGGCAGCAGUGGGGAAUAUUGGACAAUGGGCGAAAGCCUGAUCCAGCCAUGCCGCGUGUGUGAAGAAGGUCUUCGGAUUGUAAAGCACGUUAAGUUGGGAGGAAGGGCAGUAAGUUAAUACCUUGCUGUUUUGACGUUACCAACAGAAUAAGCACCGGCUAACUUCGUG
RNAcentral lists this ribosomal RNA (484 nucleotides) under uncultured bacterium. Its description in RNAcentral is "partial 16S ribosomal RNA". It matches the Rfam family "Bacterial small subunit ribosomal RNA", at positions 30 to 507 of the family's 1533-position model. The record is from RNAcentral.